GGUCUGGUCUUGGCACGUGCGCUCUAGCCAACAGCUAAAGAAAAAUMAUUSUUAUUUGUCAAACGGCAGCCAAGCAURUAUCACCAUGUCACCAGAGUAAGACCCUUGAUAUUUGUUGUAAAGAAGCAUCAUGUUCAUUACUGUGGACUUUCWCCACGCUGUGAAGUUCAUCAUAACUUAUUUCAUAGUGUAACAAACUGCAUGCUUUCUUGAGUUGUAGUGGUAUCACAAGAUAUCAUCACGUGACUCCAACUUUAAUAUGAUGGUUAUUAUAUCAAUGUUUGAGCAUAAAGACGUUUCCACUGCUAUUUCUCACAUAAUUCAUUUUACAGACUCAAAAAGAUCCCACCUUGUCUAACAUAUUUUGUUUUGUCGACGUAGUUUACCAACCAAUUUUACCAACAAAUUUGCUCUUUACAUCAGCCCUGUCAUGACAUUUUGUACUUUGUACUUUGUACUUUACUAACAUAAAAAGGUUGGAUGGAAACCUGGUUAAUGGCACAAAAAUGGUUAGAAGACUUUCAGAAACACAUAACAAUUGUUUUAUUGGUAUCCCUUUCUAAUAUAGAAAAAUCUGUUGCGAAGAAGCCUGCCAAAGAAGAGAAAGCAAAGGCAGAGCCUGUUUUAACAGACCCCUUCGCCACAGAAGAUGAGAUGCCUUACUUCCAGUGCUUUUUUGUGGAUGAAGAUGAGGCCCAGUAUCCCUUCUACCCGUUCUCACCUCUCCAGAUGUGAGAGCCCGUGCCCAGGGAAGAACACAGAGUCUAGAAAGCAAUAGACGAGAUGGGCGACACCUUUAGUGUGGAGUUAAUAAUAAACMAUUAAUAAAACCAA
Molecule: long non-coding RNA, 834 nt
Organism: Salvelinus sp. IW2-2015
Lineage: Eukaryota; Metazoa; Chordata; Actinopteri; Salmoniformes; Salmonidae
Source: RefSeq, a predicted model, not a curated record